GACGAACGCUGGCGGCGUGCCUAAUACAUGCAAGUAGAACGCACAGUUUAUACCGUAGCUUGCUACACCAUAGACUGUGAGUUGCGAACGGGUGAGUAACGCGUAGGUAACCUGCCUGGUAGCGGGGGAUAACUAUUGGAAACGAUAGCUAAUACCGCAUAAUAUUAAUUAUUGCAUGAUAAUUGAUUGAAAGAUGCAACUGCAUCACUACCAGAUGGACCUGCGUUGUAUUAGCUAGUAGGUGAGGUAACGGCUCACCUAGGCGACGAUACAUAGCCGACCUGAGAGGGUGAUCGGCCACACUGGGACUGAGACACGGCCCAGACUCCUACGGGAGGCAGCAGUAGGGAAUCUUCGGUAAUGGACGAAAGUCUGACCGAGCAACGCCGCGUGAGUGAAGAAGGUUUUCGGAUCGUAAAGCUCUGUUGUAAGAGAAGAACGGGUGUGAGAGUGGAAAGUUCACACUGUGACGGUAUCUUACCAGAAAGGGACGGCUAACUACGUG
Molecule: ribosomal RNA, 505 nt
Filed under: uncultured bacterium
Lineage: Bacteria
Description: partial 16S ribosomal RNA
Rfam family: Bacterial small subunit ribosomal RNA
Source: RNAcentral